Molecule: unclassified non-coding RNA, 304 nt
Filed under: Hevea brasiliensis (rubber tree)
Lineage: Eukaryota; Viridiplantae; Streptophyta; Magnoliopsida; Malpighiales; Euphorbiaceae
Source: RNAcentral
GGAUGUUAGUCUCGGGCCAAAGAACUUCAAGUCGGGGUUAGAUAUGUUCAACUACUUCAUCGAGUUCCUUCAUUUCUGGGUCCCCAACCUGGAUAUCAACGAGUAUGAGCACAGGGUGCUACUGGACUUGCUGAAGAAGGGUCAUGCUGAGUAUGAGAAGAAGAUUGGCGAAGGGGUUCGUGCUUUCCAAGUCCGCUACCAUCCAACUUAUAAGAGCCGUUGCUUCUUCCUUGUACGUGUCGAUGGAAGUUUAGAUGAUUUCAGCUUCCGCAAGUGUGUAGACAGCAUACUUCCCUUGCCAGAG